This 107-nucleotide small nuclear RNA is filed under the name Neotoma lepida (desert woodrat). The record is from RNAcentral. Lineage: Eukaryota; Metazoa; Chordata; Mammalia; Rodentia; Cricetidae.
GUUCUCGCUUCGGCAGCACAGAUACUAAAAUUGGACCAAUACAGAGAAGAUUAGCAUGGCCUCUGCACAAGCAUGACAUGCAAAUUUGUGAAGCAUUCUAUAUUUUU